RNAcentral lists this ribosomal RNA (253 nucleotides) under uncultured bacterium. RNAcentral describes it as "partial 16S ribosomal RNA". It matches the Rfam family "Bacterial small subunit ribosomal RNA", at positions 524 to 776 of the family's 1533-position model. The record is from RNAcentral.
UACGAAUGGGGCAAGCGUUGUUCGGAAUCACUGGGCUUAAAGCGUGCGCAGGCGGACUUGAAAGUCAGGAGUGAAAUCCCGGGGCUCAACCCCGGAAUUGCUCUUGAAACUCCAAGUCUAGAAUCCUGGAGAGGUCGGGAGAAUUCCUAGUGUAGAGGUGAAAUUCGCAGAUAUUAGGAGGAAUACCAGUGGCGUAGGCGCCCGACUGGACAGGCAUUGACGCUCAGGCACGAAAGCGUGGGGAUCAAACAGG